UGGGGAAUUUUGCACAAUGGGCCAAAAGCCUGAUGCAGCGAUGCCGCGUGGAUGAAGAAGGUCUUCGGAUCGUAAAGUCCUUUCGACAGGAAAGAAGCAAAUGACGGUACCUGGAGAAGAAGCCACGGCUAAUCACGUGCCAGCAGCCGCGGUAAGACGUGAGUGGCAAGCGUUAUCCGGAAUUACUGGGCGUAAAGAGCGCGUAGGCGACUUUGCAAGUCAGGGGUGAAAAGUCAGGGCUUAACCUUGGCCUUGCCUUUGAAACUGCAGAGAUAGAGUACAGGAUAGGAGGGUGGAACUACAAGUGUAGCGGUGGAAUGCGUAGAUAUUUGUAGGAAUGCCGAUGACGAAGGUAACUCUCUGGACUGAUACUGACGCUGAGGUGCGAGAGCUAGGGGAG
RNAcentral lists this ribosomal RNA (400 nucleotides) under uncultured bacterium. Its description in RNAcentral is "bacterial SSU rRNA". It matches the Rfam family "Bacterial small subunit ribosomal RNA", at positions 355 to 768 of the family's 1533-position model. The record is from RNAcentral.